AGCAGAGUGGCCUAGUGGAUAAAGCUUGGGCUUGGGAGCCAGAGGACUUGGAUCCUAAUCCCGACUCUGCCA
Molecule: transfer RNA, 72 nt
Filed under: Ornithorhynchus anatinus (platypus)
Lineage: Eukaryota; Metazoa; Chordata; Mammalia; Monotremata; Ornithorhynchidae
Rfam family: tRNA
About the family: Transfer RNA (tRNA) molecules are approximately 80 nucleotides in length. Their secondary structure includes four short double-helical elements and three loops (D, anti-codon, and T loops). Further hydrogen bonds mediate the characteristic L-shaped molecular structure. tRNAs have two regions of fundamental functional importance: the anti-codon, which is responsible for specific mRNA codon recognition, and the 3' end, to which the tRNAs corresponding amino acid is attached (by aminoacyl-tRNA synthetases). tRNAs cope with the degeneracy of the genetic code in two manners: having more than one tRNA (with a specific anti-codon) for a particular amino acid; and 'wobble' base-pairing, i.e. permitting non-standard base-pairing at the 3rd anti-codon position.
Source: Rfam by way of RNAcentral